This 1747-nucleotide long non-coding RNA is filed under the name Gallus gallus (chicken). RNAcentral describes it as "lncRNA (ENSGALG00010010170.1)". Lineage: Eukaryota; Metazoa; Chordata; Aves; Galliformes; Phasianidae. The record is from RNAcentral.
UUCUUGCUGGAGAUCCCUGCCUACCUGAGGCCUUCUGAAAUCAGAGACAAAUGGGAACAGCUGCUGGCAUACCAAAGUGUGGCACUGAAGGAGGCAGUCUGCAGGCGUAGCCGGGGUGGCAAGAACAUGGUCUGCCAAGGAACUUCUUCUGGAUACGUCAUAAAGCAGGAAAAGGAUGCUGUUCUUGAUAUUGUCAGUGGAGAAGUCCAGUCUGGGGCCAAAACCACAAAAGUGAAGCCUUACAAAACCAGAAAACCAAGCAGAAAGAUCUUCAGCUGAUAAUGCCCUCUUUCCUCAGUAUGCAGACAGCAUUUUCCUUGAUAGAUGAAUGCAUUCCUGUGGAAAAGACUCCACCAUUCUGCUGACAUCUGAUGCUUGACAGGUCAAUGCAUUUUGAAGCAGAUGGGGCAAUAAUUCAUGAAAAAUAGUGUUUAGAAAAGAAAAGAAAGAAAGGCUGAAAGAUGACCCAUUACUAGUCACGGCACGUUGCUCUCACUGAUUGGAAAGCAGUCACACACCACCAAGCAUUUAUUCUGUUUACUGAGAUGUAACACCAAGGAACAGCAAUUCACACCUGCAGUGAAGUUGUUAUACUUCCCAUUUCUUUUCUUUAUUCUAUUUUUAUCCUUCAUUUUUCCUCUUUCAUUUUGCCUUUUUUUUUUUCUUUCUUUUUUUUUUCUUUUUUUAAUCUUCUCUGCCUCUCCUCCUUCCACUUCUGAGUUGGGUAUCUGUGCCAGUCUUAACAUUGACCUUAAACCUGAAAUGAAGUAUAAAUUGCCAGUGGUACACUCUGAGCUGUCAAAUCAUGGUAACUGAUGAUGUGUCUUUUGAGUGAUCAGCUUAAGUGUCUCUGGCUAAUAUGUGAAGUAUGUAUACAAAUGCAUAUGUAUAUAUGUGUAUAUACUUACUCACAUAUAUGUAGCUUAGAUCCAGACCACUUAUAUCAUGGGCUGUGAAAGAGAGAGAACUCCAUUCUUACGCACAACCUGUUGUGUGAUAUCUUAGUACUCUCCAAAAAUAGGGCAUAUGACUGGAGUCCAUUGAGAGACAAAGCCACAAAAUAAUCAGUAUGUGUGAAUCAGUGAAUAAAUCACUGAUUAAUUCACAGGAUCAUCGAAUCACAGAAUACUUGAGACUGAGGACUUGUUUUUGUUUAGUUUUGGUUUUCAGGAUAUUUGUACUAGACAAGAUAAAACAUAGCUGGAAAAUUUGAAGUGUUGUAAUAAUCUAGAAGCACUCCUUAGGAAAAAAAAGAGAAAAAAAGUGGGUAGGUAAAAUAGCUCUCUGAGGCAGCACAAACAUUCAUAUAAGGAUUCCAGAAUACUUUUACUUUGCUUGUAAGGACUAUAACCUGAAUAAGUAAAUCUAGGAAAUAUCCCACGUGCCCUGUACUCAUCACAAAUCAGUCUCAGGGGCUUAAAAUUACAAUUCUUACCUCUACAAACAUGACACUUAACAAUAUAAUGUCUCUCAGAGGAAAAGGUGGGCAUAGAAAUGGAAUUGCUAAAAUGAUUUUACUGUUGAAAGAAAUGGAGGCCUAGGUGGUAAGAAAAUACUACUUUUAAAUUGGUCUCAAGUGUUAAAUAAUGGAUAUAUGUGUAUAUGGGGUAUUCAGAUGUUUUUGAUUUUUAUGCUGAAGACUAAAAUUUCCAUUAGUAUUCCACCUCUUCAGUUUUGCCUGGGGACUGUUAAUUAUAUUUCUGAAAUUGCAACUAAAUAAAAACCUAACAAAAAAUAACAACCGGAU